RNAcentral lists this ribosomal RNA (432 nucleotides) under uncultured bacterium. RNAcentral describes it as "partial 16S ribosomal RNA". It matches the Rfam family "Bacterial small subunit ribosomal RNA", at positions 29 to 506 of the family's 1533-position model. The record is from RNAcentral.
AACGAACGCUGGCGGCAUGCCUAACACAUGCAAGUCGAACGAACCCUUCGGGGUUAGUGGCGCACGGGUGCGUAACGCGUGGGAAUCUGCCCUUUGCUUCGGAAUAACUCAGGGAAACUUGUGCUAAUACCGGAUGAUGUCUUCGGACCAAAGAUUUAUCGGCAAGGGAUGAGCCCGCGUAGGAUUAGGUAGUUGGUGGGGUAAAGGCCUACCAAGCCGACGAUCCUUAGCUGGUCUGAGAGGAUGAUCAGCCACACUGGGACUGAGACACGGCCCAGACUCCUACGGGAGGCAGCAGUGGGGAAUAUUGGACAAUGGGCGCAAGCCUGAUCCAGCAAGGCCGCGUGAGUGAUGAAGGCCCUCGGGUCGUAAAGCUCUUUUACCAGGGAUGAUAAUGACAGUACCUGGAGAAUAAGCUCCGGCUAACUCCGU